ACAUUGGAAAGAUAGAUUUGAGGCAUUCCAUCAAGACAGUGUGAUAUGGCUAAGGGAAAGAGAGCAAGUCAUUGAGGAUUACGAUACCUUUAGGAGAACUAUCAAUUUCUUGCAAGCAGACAAAGAUGGGUACCGUGCAAAGCUCAACGGUUUGGUGCAAUUCUGCAAUUGGAUAACCCAAGAAAUGCCUUGGAGAUUGAGAGAGGCAGUGGAAGGAUUGGACCAGCAUGACACACAUCCUGCUGUAAUCCAUUUUGUUAUGAUGUGUGAGGGGAUGGUGAAGAGGUUCAACUCUGAAUUAGAAGAACUCAUAACUCGAAAGACUUCUGUGUGAUUCUUCUGUUUUUCUUAUAUUCAGUUAGUAUUUGAGCUGUAUCGAUUUGGGCGGUUAUGCCUUUGUACUCCGUACUUUAAAUAUUUGAAUGGAAGAGGAUGAUCCUCAUUUUUAUUUCCUGACUUUAUGUUUUCUCUAAAUGCUUAAUACAACUACAAUCGUGAUGAAAAUUCCCUGAAAAUAAAAUAUGCAUAACAUUUGCAUCCUCAUGCAUCACGCUUCAUAAAAACAAAAAAACUUACCCAACCUUUUGCCAUCUACCAGUAAACGCUGACUAA
This 612-nucleotide long non-coding RNA is filed under the name Lathyrus oleraceus (garden pea). RNAcentral's name for it is "Pisum sativum (pea) long non-coding RNA (PSAT_LNC012741)". Lineage: Eukaryota; Viridiplantae; Streptophyta; Magnoliopsida; Fabales; Fabaceae. The record is from RNAcentral.